GGGAAUGUGGCUUAGUGGUAGAGUGCUUGCCUAGCAUGCAUGAGAUCCUGGGUUUGAUUCCUCAGCACCA
Molecule: transfer RNA, 70 nt
Filed under: Dipodomys ordii (Ord's kangaroo rat)
Lineage: Eukaryota; Metazoa; Chordata; Mammalia; Rodentia; Heteromyidae
Rfam family: tRNA
About the family: Transfer RNA (tRNA) molecules are approximately 80 nucleotides in length. Their secondary structure includes four short double-helical elements and three loops (D, anti-codon, and T loops).
Source: Rfam by way of RNAcentral